Molecule: transfer RNA, 67 nt
Filed under: Encyrtus eulecaniumiae
Lineage: Eukaryota; Metazoa; Arthropoda; Insecta; Hymenoptera; Encyrtidae
Description: tRNA-Met
Source: RNAcentral
UUAAAGGUAGACUAAUUUAAGUUAUUAGACUCAUAAUCUAAAGAUAAUUUUUAAUAAUUUCUUUAAA